This 61-nucleotide transfer RNA is filed under the name Cylindrus obtusus. Its description in RNAcentral is "tRNA-Cys". Lineage: Eukaryota; Metazoa; Mollusca; Gastropoda; Stylommatophora; Helicidae. The record is from RNAcentral.
AUAAUAAUAGUUUAUCUAAAACAUAAAGUUGCAAACUUUACAAAUGCUGUGCGUUAUUAUU